Molecule: long non-coding RNA, 2493 nt
Filed under: Homo sapiens (human)
Lineage: Eukaryota; Metazoa; Chordata; Mammalia; Primates; Hominidae
Description: HSALNT0165859
Source: RNAcentral
GAAGAAUGUAGGGAGACCUCCAGUGGACCGCACUCCUUCUAGCGAGCCGCGGAAACCAUAGAGAUCAGGGCUCAGCCGGAGGGCCGGCCCACUGCUGUCACGUGGCCUCCAUCCGUGCGCUUUAUUGGCUGGUGCUGGCUUUACGGGGUUGAAUUUUGGACGCUGCCUGCCAUUCGUGGGACCGAGUUUCAGGCAGCUGGAAUAAAGAGAGACAUCGGGGGAAAGCCGCGAGAAGGCCAGCGUCCCUGGCUGGGAGCAGAGCUAGCCGAGUAGGGCGCCCGGCUGUCAAACUGGCCGGCGCAGUGCACGCUGGGCCGCCCCGGAGCGGUCGCAGAGCCCGUCGGGAGUCGUAGUCCGGGACGGGCCCGCGGCAUUGUCCGCGACGCAGCUCGGGAUCCGGGUCGGGGUGUCGGCCGGGUUGCUGCCGGGCACCGUCGAGCGUUAGCCACCCAGCAUUGAGCUGCCAGCGGCUGUUCUCCCUAAGCACCCUCGCUCACGUCGCCUCGCCUCGCCUCGCCUGACCGGCCGCAGCCUUGGAUACCAGCCUUAAAUCGAGCCGACUACGGCCCAGCCCCGCCCGCGGCGAGGUGCGCGGGGUUCGGUGCCAGCCGCUCGCCCCUGGCGGGGCCAGCCUCUUGAUGCACCGGGGACGGGCGCCCCCAUCCGACUCUUCGAGGGGCGGCAGGGCCCCAUCUGUGUCUUUCGCUCUCGAGCCCCCAGCUAGAGUUGGCUUCAGCGGAAUACCUACUGUGCGGGAUUAUUCAACAAGCCGAUUGAUCACAUUCUUCAGCUCUAGCAGUGCAAAGGCUUCACUGAAAAAGAACAUUACAAAUUUUUUUUGAAAGAAAUUUGGGGGGGUGUUUUUUAUGAGUUACAGACUAUGUGCUUUCAGAAUGAGGCAACCGAUUUAAGGAUGUAAGCAUAAUUUAAGGAUAUUGAAAAUGAUAUAGGAAUAAAUUUUGUUUAGUCAUUCAUGGAUUUAUUCAUUUUCAGAUGACUAUGUGUGUGAAUAUUUAAGAAUUCUAAAACCGCAUGGGAUUACUUAUAACUAUAUAGGAGCCUAACACGAUAAUGGAAUCAGAAUAUACUUUGCUGAAGGGAGGAGGCUUUUAACUGAAAGUCUUCUCUCUACGUUUUUAUGUCUCUAACAGGAAUCCACUGAAGACCUACAUUUCCCGGAAGGUUAACAGCCCCCUUCUCAGUUUUCCUGCUGCUCCUAUCAGUGACAAAUCAGCGUAUUAGAACAUGCAUGCUGGCUGAUCAUUCUGAUCAAGUCAACAAGCUUCACAACUUACUCAAUGAGGUCGUCCGUGAGAACUUCACUGUUUUACGGGGACAGGAGCUACUUCUUUGCUGAACUGCAUCACGGUUUCAACUGCUGAGGUUUUCUUCAAGCUUUUGCAUUGUUUGGAAUGUGAAGGGCAUGGCCGAGACACACUUUGAGGUUCCCACUGCAUUGUUACACCUCCCCCCUCACUUCAGGGCCAGGUAACACCAAGAAGGACGCCAUGAGAGCGAAGGCCGUUGGGUCACCGCCCUUUGCUCUCGCGCUGCGCGUCUCCCUGCCAUCAACCGCCGCAACUGGCGCUGGGAGCGGUUGAGGGCGGCCGGCCUCGCGCUGGAACCUCGCCCGCCUCAAGGCUCCUGCGGCGGCACACGGGGCAGGCCAGGACCCGCCCUAGGAGGGCCCCGCUGGAGAUGUGGAAAUGGAGGGACGCGGCACCUGGGCGCUUCCUGGGGCCAGACAACGCCCCCUCAUUGGAACCUCCAUGACCCUGCCUCUGAGAAACCAGCGCGUCCGCAACGAUCACUCCUAAUUUUCGGUAAUACAAACCUGCAGUCCAUGCACUUAGGUAACACCCUUGCUGAAAGGUUUACCUUUGGAGGGUUUAUCCUAAAGCAAAGUAUCCUCAAAUUGCAUGUCUUGCAUUCCCUUUGGAUGGCAUUGAUUUCAUUCCUGCUCAUGCCUUUCAAAAAAUAGUAUGCCCUGUUUUCCUACUCAGUCUGGAGGUUCCAUUAAAGAGUAUUUCUGGCAAAGAUUUUUAGACCUGAAAACACACUCCAAAAUAUAUUUUCUUCUGACUCCAUUCCCAGAGUUUUUCCUACCGCAUUCAAAUGAUUUCUAGAAAUGUUUUUGUUGUAGCCUUGAUCAAUUUCAGUCGAUAAAGCAGCAGAUAGUAAGGGAACAAUUCCACGCUCCCCACCCCUGACUCUGCAACACAGUGCAGAAUUCCAGUUGGCAAUAAAAAACUAGUAGAGAAGGAACUCACUGACUUCAGUUUGUAAUACCGUCAGAAGAAACUUUAAUCGUCACAUCCUUUCUGCUCAUUUGCAGGAUUCCUAUCAUCUGUCUCCACGUGAUAACACUGAAGAGCCUUCACAUUGAUGCAGGCCCAGGGCCUCAAGUGCAGAGACUGAGAGCUCUGCAGGACACAGCAUGGAGCCGCCAUUCCUCUACUGGGUGGAGGAGCAUGUGUCCUCUGAACAGGGGAU